This 468-nucleotide ribosomal RNA is filed under the name uncultured bacterium. RNAcentral describes it as "partial 16S ribosomal RNA". It matches the Rfam family "Bacterial small subunit ribosomal RNA", at positions 28 to 507 of the family's 1533-position model. The record is from RNAcentral.
GACGAACGCUGGCGGCGUGCUUAACACAUGCAAGUCGAACGGAAAGGCCCUGCUUUUGUGGGGUGCUCGAGUGGCGAACGGGUGAGUAACACGUGAGUAACCUGCCCUUGACUGUGGGAUAACUUCAGGAAACUGGGGCUAAUACCGGAUAGGAGCUCCUGCUGCAUGGGGGGGGUUGGAACGUUUCGGCGGUUGGGGAUGGACUCGCGGCUUAUCAGCUGGUUGGUGGGGGAGUGGCUUACCAAGGCUUUGACGGGUAGCCGGCCUGGGAGGGUGACCGGCCACAUUGGGACUGAGAUACGGCCCAGACGCCUACGGUGGGCAGCAGUGGGGAAUAUUGCACAAUGGGCGGAAGCCUGAUGCAGCAACGCCGCGUUCGGGAUGACGGCCUUCGGGUUGUAAACCGCUUUCGCCUGUGACGAAGCGUGAGUGACGGUACUGGGUAAAGAAGCACCGGCUAACUACGUG